Molecule: long non-coding RNA, 348 nt
Filed under: Lathyrus oleraceus (garden pea)
Lineage: Eukaryota; Viridiplantae; Streptophyta; Magnoliopsida; Fabales; Fabaceae
Description: Pisum sativum (pea) long non-coding RNA (PSAT_LNC003525)
Source: RNAcentral
GCAUCAAACAAAAGGUCUUUUAGGAGGUUUGUUGAAACUUACCUAGAGGAAGCGGUGUUUGUUUAUGUUGACCAACUUUUAACACAGAAAAACUACAUCAAGGAGGGACUUGAACUGGAAACUCAUUAUCCUGCAGCAACGAAUCCUCUUACGGGCCACCCAAAACCGAGUACACCAACAAGGCUGUGAGAAACACGAAACCGAUGUUCAAUUUUUCACUGCAGUAAAAAGAUUCAGAUUAAUAGUGAAGCAGUUAAAAUUCCAAAAAAAAUUCCCAAAUCGGGAUUAAGACAAAAGCGAUUAGAAAAAGCUAAGUUCAGAAUACCUUUUCAAAUUGCAGCAUCAAAC